Molecule: ribosomal RNA, 334 nt
Filed under: uncultured bacterium
Lineage: Bacteria
Description: bacterial SSU rRNA
Rfam family: Bacterial small subunit ribosomal RNA
Source: RNAcentral
UGCUAAUACCGCAUAAGACCACAGUACUGCAUGGUACAGGGGUCAAAGGACGAGAUUCGGUAUAGGAUGGGCUCGCGUCCCAUUAGCUAGUUGGAGGUGUAACGGACCACCAAGGCGACGAUGGGUAGCCGACCUGAGAGGGUGACCGGCCACACUGGGACUGAGACACGGGCCCAGACUCCUACGGGAGGCAGCAGGUAGGGAAUAUUGGACAAUGGGGGGAACCCUGAUCCAGCAACGCCGCGUGAAGGAAGAAGGUCUUCGGAUUGUAAACUUAUGUUGUCGGGGACGAAGCGAGACGGUACCCGACGAGGAAGCCCCGGCUAACUACGUG